GUUCCUGGCUCAGGAUAAACGCUGGCGGCGCACAUAAGACAUGCAAGUCGAACGAACUUAACCAUUAGUUUACUAUUGGAGCGGUUAGUGGCGGACUGGUGAGUAACGCGUAAGCAACCUGCCUAUCAGAGGGGAACAACAGUUAGAAAUGACUGCUAAUACCGCAUAUGCCUUAGAAUCACAUGGUUCAAAAGGGAAAGGAGCAAUCCGCUGAUAGAUGGGCUUGCGUCUGAUUAG
This 237-nucleotide ribosomal RNA is filed under the name uncultured bacterium. Its description in RNAcentral is "partial 16S ribosomal RNA". It matches the Rfam family "Bacterial small subunit ribosomal RNA", at positions 15 to 244 of the family's 1533-position model. The record is from RNAcentral.